GAUGAACGCUAGCGAUAGGCCUAACACAUGCAAGUCGAGGGGCAGCACAUGAGUAGCAAUACGAUGGUGGCGACCGGCGCACGGGUGAGUAACACGUAUGCAACCUACCUUUAACAGGGGAAUAACCCGUUGAAAAACGGACUAAUACUCCAUAACACAGGGGUCCCGCAUGGGAAUAUUUGUUAAAGAUUUAUCGGUUGAAGAUGGGCAUGCGUUCCAUUAGCUUGUUGGUGAGGUGACGGCUCACCAAGGCUACGAUGGAUAGGGGAACUGAGAGGUUUAUCCCCCACACUGGAACUGAGACACGGUCCAGACUCCUACGGGAGGCAGCAGUGAGGAAUAUUGGUCAAUGGAGGCAACUCUGAACCAGCCAAGUCGCGUGAAGGAUGAAGGUCUUAUGGAUUGUAAACUUCUUUUGCAAGGGAAUAAAGUGGGGGACGUGUCCUCCCUUGCAUGUACCUUGCGAAUAAGGAUCGGCUAACUCCGUGCCAGCAGCCGCGGUAAUACGGAGGAUCCGAGCGUUAUCCGGAUUUAUUGGGUUUAAAGGGUGCGCAGGCGGGAGAUUAAGUCGGCGGUGAAAUUUUGCAGCUCAACUGUAAAAGUGCCUUCGAAACUGGUUUUCUUGAGUGUAGAUGAAGUAGGCGGAAUUUGUGGUGUAGCGGUGAAAUGCAUAGAUAUCACGAGGAACUCCGAUUGCGCAGGCAGCUUACUAAGCUACAACUGACGCUCAGGCACGAAGGCGUGGGGAUCAAACA
Molecule: ribosomal RNA, 755 nt
Filed under: uncultured bacterium
Lineage: Bacteria
Description: bacterial SSU rRNA
Rfam family: Bacterial small subunit ribosomal RNA
Source: RNAcentral